Molecule: ribosomal RNA, 494 nt
Filed under: uncultured bacterium
Lineage: Bacteria
Description: partial 16S ribosomal RNA
Rfam family: Bacterial small subunit ribosomal RNA
Source: RNAcentral
GACGAACGCUGGCGGCGCGCUUAACACAUGCAAGUCGAACGGAAAGGCCUGCUUUCCCUUGUGGAUUGCGGGUACUCGCGUGGCGAACGGGUGAGUAACACGUGAGUGAUCUGCCCCCAACUUGGGUAUAAGCCUGGGAAACUGGGUCUAAUUCCCGAUAGGACUGCAGGGUGGUGCCUGUGGUGGAAAACGAUUUUCUAGUGGUUGGGGAUGAGCUCGCGGCCUAUCAGCUUGUUGGUGGGGUAAUGGCCUACCAAGGCGGCGACGGGUAGCCAGCCUGGGAGGGUGGACGGCCACAUUGGGACUGAGAUACGGCCCAGACUCCUACGGGAGGCAGCAGUGGGGAAUAUGGCACAAUGGGCGGAAGCCUGAUGCAGCGACGCCGCGUGGGGGAUGACGGCCUUCGGGUUGUAAACUCCUUUCGACCGCGAGGAAGCCACCUGGUUGGAAGGGUGGUGACGGUAGUGGUAGAAGAAGCACCGGCUAACUACGUG